This 243-nucleotide ribosomal RNA is filed under the name uncultured bacterium. RNAcentral's name for it is "partial 16S ribosomal RNA". It matches the Rfam family "Bacterial small subunit ribosomal RNA", at positions 93 to 339 of the family's 1533-position model. The record is from RNAcentral.
GAGUGGCGGACGGGUGAGUAACGCGUAGGAAUCUACCCAAUCGUGGGGGAUAACGCAGCGAAAGCUGUGCUAAUACCGCAUACGAUCUACGGAUGAAAGCGGGGGACCUUCGGGCCUCGCGCGAUUGGAGCGGCCGAUGUUAGAUUAGGUAGUUGGUGGGGUAAAGGCUCACCAAGCCGACGAUCUAUAGCUGGUCUGAGAGGACGACCAGCCACACUGGAACUGAGACACGGUCCAGACUCC